RNAcentral lists this ribosomal RNA (250 nucleotides) under uncultured bacterium. Its description in RNAcentral is "partial 16S ribosomal RNA". It matches the Rfam family "Bacterial small subunit ribosomal RNA", at positions 524 to 773 of the family's 1533-position model. The record is from RNAcentral. RNAcentral also lists the same sequence under 1 other name.
UACAGAGGGUGCAAGCGUUAAUCGGAAUUACUGGGCGUAAAGCGCGCGUAGGUGGUUCGUUAAGUUGGAUGUGAAAGCCCCGGGCUCAACCUGGGAACUGCAUCCAAAACUGGCGAGCUAGAGUAUGGUAGAGGGUGGUGGAAUUUCCUGUGUAGCGGUGAAAUGCGUAGAUAUAGGAAGGAACACCAGUGGCGAAGGCGACCACCUGGACUGAUACUGACACUGAGGUGCGAAAGCGUGGGGAGCAAAC